Molecule: small nuclear RNA, 104 nt
Organism: Suncus etruscus (white-toothed pygmy shrew)
Lineage: Eukaryota; Metazoa; Chordata; Mammalia; Eulipotyphla; Soricidae
Source: RefSeq, a predicted model, not a curated record
GUGCUCACUUUGGCAGCACGUAUACUAAAAUUGGAACGAUACAGAGAUUAGCAUGGCCCCUGCACAAAGAUGACACUCAAAUUCAUGAAGCGUUCAUAUUUAAA